UUUGGCUAGGUAGAGAGGGAGAGG
RNAcentral lists this non-coding RNA (24 nucleotides) under Cricetulus griseus (Chinese hamster). The record is from RNAcentral. Lineage: Eukaryota; Metazoa; Chordata; Mammalia; Rodentia; Cricetidae.